RNAcentral lists this ribosomal RNA (2708 nucleotides) under Clostridioides difficile. RNAcentral describes it as "23S ribosomal RNA". It matches the Rfam family "Bacterial large subunit ribosomal RNA". Lineage: Bacteria; Bacillati; Bacillota; Clostridia; Peptostreptococcales; Peptostreptococcaceae. The record is from RNAcentral.
AACUGAAACAUCUAAGUACCUGAAGGAAGAGAAAGAAAUUCGAUUCCGUAAGUAGCGGCGAGCGAACGCGGAUUAGCCCAAACCAAUAAAGUUUUCUUUAUUGGGGUUGCGGACAUAUCAUAACGAAGAGGUAUCGUAAUUGAAGAGGUUUGGAAAGACCCACCACAGAAGGUAAUAGUCCUGUAUGUUAAACGAGAAGACUUUAGAUAUGAUCCAGAGUACCACGGGACACGUGAAACCCUGUGGGAAGCAGGAGGGACCACCCUCCAAGGCUAAAUACUACCUAGUGACCGAUAGCGUAUAGUACCGUGAGGGAAAGGUGAAAAGAACCCCGGGAGGGGAGUGAAAUAGAACCUGAAACCCUGCACUUACAAGCUGUGGAAGCACAUUUCUUGUGUGACCGCGUACUUUUUGUAGAACGGGCCAACGAGUUACGUUAAGUAGCAAGGUUAAGCACUUAAGGUGCGGAGCCGUAGCGAAAGCGAGUUUUAACUGAGCGUUCAGUUACUUGACGUAGACCCGAAACCGGGCGACCUACCCAUGAGCAGGAUGAAGCGAAAGUAAAAUUUCGUGGAGGUCCGAACCCACGAGCGUUGAAAAGCUCGGGGAUGACUUGUGGGUAGCGGUGAAAUUCCAAUCGAGCCCGGAGAUAGCUGGUUCUCCCCGAAAUAGCUUUAGGGCUAGCCUCAAGGUGAGAGAUACGGAGGUAGAGCACUGAAUGUCCUAGGGGGUAUUGCACCUACCGAAGACUAUCAAACUCCGAAUGCCGUCAUCUUAUACUUGGGAGUCAGACUGUGGGUGAUAAGAUUCAUAGUCGAAAGGGCAACAGCCCAGAUCGUCAGCUAAGGUCCCUAAAUGUAAGUUAAGUGGUAAAGGAUGUGGGAUUGCACAGACAACCAGGAUGUUGGCUUAGAAGCAGCCACUCAUUCAAAGAGUGCGUAAUAGCUCACUGGUCGAGUGAUCCUGCGCCGAAGAUUUCCGGGGCUAAAACUUACUACCGAAGCUACGGCAUCAGUAAUGAUGGGUAGGGGAGCUUCCCAUACGGGUUGAAGCAUGACCGUAAGGACAUGUGGACAGUAUGGGAGUGAGAAUGUUGGCAUGAGUAGCGAGAUGUGGGUGAGAAUCCCACAGGCCGUAAACCCAAGGUUUCCAGGGGAAGGUUCGUCCGCCCUGGGUUAGUCGGGACCUAAGCUGAGGCCGAAAGGCGUAGGUGAUGGACAACAGGUUGAUAUUCCUGUACUACCGAUAACCGUUUGAGAGAAGGGAUGACACAGUAGGAUAAGCUAAGCACACUGUUGGUUAUGUGUGCCCAAGCAUUGAGGCAGUCAAAGUAGGCAAAUCCGCUUUGAUAAUGCUGGGAUGUGAUGGGGAGCGAAAUUUAGUAGCGAAGUAGCUGAUUUCACACUGUCAAGAAAAGUCUCUAUCGAGGUUAAAGGUACCCGUACCGCAAACCGACACAGGUGGGUGAGGAGAGUAUCCUAAGGCCAGCGAGAGAACUGUUGUUAAGGAACUCGGCAAAAUGACCCCGUAACUUAGGGAUAAGGGGUGCCACCAUCAGGUGGCCGCAGAGAAUAGGCCCAAGCGACUGUUUACCAAAAACAUAGGUUUCUGCUAAGUCGCAAGACGAUGUAUAGGAGCUGACGCCUGCCCGGUGCUGGAAGGUUAAGGGGAUCUGUUAGAGCAAUCGAAGCAGUGAACUUAAGCCCCAGUAAACGGCGGCCGUAACUAUAACGGUCCUAAGGUAGCGAAAUUCCUUGUCGGGUAAGUUCCGACCCGCACGAAAGGCGUAACGAUUUGGGCACUGUCUCAACAACAGACUCGGUGAAAUUGUAAUUCCGGUGAAGAUGCCGGAUACCUGCGACAGGACGGAAAGACCCCAUGGAGCUUUACUGUAGCUUGACAUUGGGUCUUGGUACUACAUGUACAGGAUAGGUGGGAGGCUUUGAAACCAGGACGCCAGUUUUGGCGGAGCCAUCCUUGGGAUACCACCCUUGUAGUACUGGGACUCUAACCAUAGGCCAUGAAUCUGGUCUUGGGACACUGUCAGGUGGGCAGUUUGACUGGGGCGGUCGCCUCCCAAAAGGUAACGGAGGCGCUCAAAGGUUCUCUCAGUACGGUCGGAAAUCGUACGUAGAGUGUAAAGGCAAAAGAGAGCUUGAUUGCAAGACAUACAGGUCGAGCAAGGAUGAAAAUCGGACUUAGUGAUCCGGUGGUUCUGCGUGGAAGGGCCAUCGCUCAACGGAUAAAAGCUACCCUGGGGAUAACAGGCUUAUCUCCCCCAAGAGUCCACAUCGACGGGGAGGUUUGGCACCUCGAUGUCGGCUCAUCACAUCCUGGGGCUGUAGUAGGUCCCAAGGGUUGGGCUGUUCGCCCAUUAAAGUGGUACGCGAGCUGGGUUCAGAACGUCGUGAGACAGUUCGGUCCCUAUCCGUCGCAGGCGUAGGAAAUUUGAGAAGACCUGUCCUUAGUACGAGAGGACCGGGAUGGACGUACCUCUGGUGUACCAGUUGUUCUGCCAAGGGCAUGGCUGGGUAGCUAUGUACGGAAUGGAUAAGCGCUGAAAGCAUCUAAGCGCGAAGCCAACUUCAAGAUAAGAUUUCCCACCGCAAGGGUAAGACCCCAGAAAGACUAUCUGGUUGAUAGGUCGAAGGUGUAAGUGCAGCAAUGUAUUUAGCUUAUCGAUACUAAUAGGUCGAGGACUUGACCAA